RNAcentral lists this unclassified non-coding RNA (228 nucleotides) under Hevea brasiliensis (rubber tree). Lineage: Eukaryota; Viridiplantae; Streptophyta; Magnoliopsida; Malpighiales; Euphorbiaceae. The record is from RNAcentral.
GUCAAAGUAAUUCUUUCGAAGUUCUUUUUUUUAAUUUUUAAAUGGUAGUUAUUCUUUUGAACUUUUAGAAAAUCAACAUGUAUCACAUAUCUUGUGGCUAUUUUCUCGAUAUCUUCCUCGUCCUUCUUGUUUUAUGUUGCGUGGUGGGUGGAUGGAGCUUCCUUUUCUUGCCGAGUUCAGAAGCAUCUAUAUCCCUGUAUAUCUUAAAGGUUCCACAGAGUAUAAAUU